AAGAACUGUGCGAGUGGCAGUGUGUGUGAGUACUGCACCUACUAUUGUUACCUUACUUGUGUUCUUUCAUCAUCACAGAGUAGAGGCAAGAGAGAUCCGCUGGCCCGAGGUCUCGACGAAAGGGCGCCCCGGUCCAGCUUUCGAUUGACCAACGGGUCUCGAGGAACGGGCAGCGCUCGACCCGGUGCGCCGGCGUGGCUUUCUCGCCCCUCUGUUCAUCAACGAGUUCGCAGAGAGGGUCUUGGCCCCCGGCGUCCCAUUACAAAACAUUGCUAAAUCGCCGCAUUGCAGAAACCAGCCAGCGUAAGCUCGCGACCCUGUAAACCUCCAUGUAACUUGUUAUGUCUGCUGAUUGACAGGAAAGUGAGUGAGUCGUGAGAGCUGUGGAGAGGAAGAGAGCCAGCGUGAACACUGAGAUACUGAACUGUGGAGAGAAAGAGAGCCAUACCUACCUAGAAGCUGUAAUCAGCGCAGAGGUGAGCAAACGUCUUGAGAACGAUUCACUGUGUCCCUGUAUCCUAGCAGCCAUCUGUGGAGAGAAAGAGAGCCAACGUGAACACUGAGAUAUUGAGUUUGGAGAGAGCCAUACCUACCUAGAAGCUGUAACCAGCGCAGAGGUGAGCGAACGUCUUAAGAACGAUUCACUGUGUCCCUGUAUCCUAGCAGCCAUCUGUGGAGAGAAAGAGAGCCAAUGUGAACACUGAGAUAUUGAGCUGUGGAGAGAGCCAUACCUACCUAGAAGCUGUAAUCAGCGCGGAGGUGAGCGAACGUCUUGAGAACGAUUCACUGUGUCCCUGUAUCCCAGCAGCCGUCUGUGGAGAGAAAGAGAGAGCCAACGUGAACACCGAGAUAUUGAGCUAUGGAGAGAGCCUUACCUGCCUAGAAGCUGUAACCAGCGCAGAGCAGCCGUCUGUGGAGAGAAAGAGAGCCAACGUGAACACUGAGAUAUUGAGCUGUGGAGGAGAGCCUAGAGUGGCCGUUAUUUUAAGUUCCCCUUUCCCCUUCCCUAUUUAAUAUUUUUAAGUAAAUUAAAUAAAGUAUAUUUUAAUUUUAUGCUUACCUUGUGUGUCUGGUCAUUGGGGUGGCUUUGGGAAUCUCCUCGAGGUGGAGAAAGGGGCGUGACCUUAUUUACACCUGGGUCCACCCCUACCUGUGACAGAUUUGGCGUAGUCGGCAGUCCACCUCGGGUUGAGACCAAGGUCCCCCAAUGGCCUACCACGUUUUUUUAAAUAAAAUACCCUUUUAAAUUUGUAGCAGUCCCCAUAUUGACUCGUUCUCGGGACGAGAACGGAUUGGCGGGGGAGGAUGUCACAAGGUGACGAUCUUUUAAGGGCGGAACCAAAGUUUGGGAAGUUUUGGUUCCGCCCGGAAGUUUCCCCACCGGGCCGCAUAUGAAGAUGGACCUUGUUACUUCCUGGUUUCCAGGGCGACGCUGUUAGGGCUUCACGAGCCACAGGUGUGAGGCAUUGGUUAGGCAAAGUGUGAUUGGAGGCUGGAAGAAAAUGAAGCACUUAAAUAGCCCUGUUGGAACACAGAAAAGGAGGGGAGUCACACGAGCGCGAUGGACACGAGAGGCGAGUGACACGGGGGAGCUCCUUUGCCGAAGGCAAUAUAAAGACACGCACCUUCUGAAGAGCCCGAAGCUCUGUUGAUCCGGGGAUCGCUAAAGCGAGCGGAGAGAGGACAGAGCUAUAGGAGGUGAAAGGAAGGAAAGCGGUGGAUCUUUUGAAAGGAGCACCCCGAAAUCGCUGAUGUUAUCCACUGUUGUGUUGAUCGAUGGGAAUGAGGACAUCGAAGACCUUAUAGGUGAAGUACUAGACGGACACUGACAUUGGUUGAGAGAAACGGAAGGAGAGGAAAACUUACCGUUGUGAGUAUAUAUCUGUGGGAAAAGUGGUGUUGGUGGCUGGAAAGCGCCCUGUCUAGAUACCUGGAGUUACUAUUGGCAUGAAGACAACCUAGGACGAAGAAAGACAGAGAUCGUGAGUAACCAAAUCCCUUGAACGUGGUGGGCGAGCCGAAGGUUUUCGUGGGAAAGCAGCUACAGCAACGAUAGCAAACAAACGCUAGGCCAUCUACCAUCUCCCUAUUCUCGCCCAGAGCGACGUGGAAGAGGACGGGUGUCUAUUGUGUGCACUGAGCGUGGUGGGGUGAGUCUUUGGAAAUUUUCACUUGAAGUGGUGCUGUGUAAUGCCGUGUAUUACAGUGUGAGUGCUGUGUCCUGUUUGACGUAAUCCCGUUUCCAGUCACUCGUCCCGGGACGAUGAAGAGGAAAGAACGGCGCUAGGAAAAAACCUGUACAAUAUUGCUGUAGUGUGCUUUCAGUUCCACAGAAUUACAGAGUGGCGGCAAAGAACUGUGCGAGUGGCAGUGUGUGUGAGUACUGCACCUACUAUUGUUACCUUACUUGUGUUCUUUCAUCAUCACAGAGUAGAGGCAAGAGAGAUCCGCUGGCCCGAGGUCUCGACGAAAGGGCGCCCCGGUCCAGCUUUCGAUUGACCAACGGGUCUCGAGGAACGGGCAGCGCUCGACCCGGUGCGCCGGCGUGGCUUUCUCGCCCCUCUGUUCAUCAACGAGUUCGCAGAGAGGGUCUUGGCCCCCGGCGUCCCAUUACAAAACAUUGCUAAAUCGCCGCAUUGCAGAAACCAGCCAGCGUAAGCUCGCGACCCUGUAAACCUCCAUGUAACUUGUUAUGUCUGCUGAUUGACAGGAAAGUGAGUGAGUCGUGAGAGCUGUGGAGAGGAAGAGAGCCAGCGUGAACACUGAGAUACUGAACUGUGGAGAGAAAGAGAGCCAUACCUACCUAGAAGCUGUAAUCAGCGCAGAGGUGAGCAAACGUCUUGAGAACGAUUCACUGUGUCCCUGUAUCCUAGCAGCCAUCUGUGGAGAGAAAGAGAGCCAACGUGAACACUGAGAUAUUGAGUUUGGAGAGAGCCAUACCUACCUAGAAGCUGUAACCAGCGCAGAGGUGAGCGAACGUCUUAAGAACGAUUCACUGUGUCCCUGUAUCCUAGCAGCCAUCUGUGGAGAGAAAGAGAGCCAAUGUGAACACUGAGAUAUUGAGCUGUGGAGAGAGCCAUACCUACCUAGAAGCUGUAAUCAGCGCGGAGGUGAGCGAACGUCUUGAGAACGAUUCACUGUGUCCCUGUAUCCCAGCAGCCGUCUGUGGAGAGAAAGAGAGAGCCAACGUGAACACCGAGAUAUUGAGCUAUGGAGAGAGCCUUACCUGCCUAGAAGCUGUAACCAGCGCAGAGCAGCCGUCUGUGGAGAGAAAGAGAGCCAACGUGAACACUGAGAUAUUGAGCUGUGGAGGAGAGCCUAGAGUGGCCGUUAUUUUAAGUUCCCCUUUCCCCUUCCCUAUUUAAUAUUUUUAAGUAAAUUAAAUAAAGUAUAUUUUAAUUUUA
Molecule: non-coding RNA, 3404 nt
Organism: Paramisgurnus dabryanus
Lineage: Eukaryota; Metazoa; Chordata; Actinopteri; Cypriniformes; Cobitidae
Source: RefSeq, a predicted model, not a curated record